UACGAAGGGGGCUAGCGUUGCUCGGAAUGACUGGGCGUAAAGGGCGCGUAGGCGGAUGGCACAGUCAGAUGUGAAAUUCCCGGGCUUAACCUGGGGGGCUGCAUUUGAUACGUGUUGUCUUGAGUUCGGAAGAGGGUCGUGGAAUUCCCAGUGUAGAGGUGAAAUUCGUAGAUAUUGGGAAGAACACCGGUGGCGAAGGCGGCGACCUGGUCCGACACUGACGCUGAGGCGCGAAAGCGUGGGGAGCAAACAGG
RNAcentral lists this ribosomal RNA (254 nucleotides) under uncultured bacterium. RNAcentral describes it as "partial 16S ribosomal RNA". It matches the Rfam family "Bacterial small subunit ribosomal RNA", at positions 524 to 776 of the family's 1533-position model. The record is from RNAcentral.